GUGAGGAAUAUUGGUCAAUGGGCGCAAGCCUGAACCAACCAUGCCGCGUGCAGGAAGACGGUCCUAUGGAUUGUAAACUGCUUUUAUUUGGGAAUAAACUCCGGUACGUGUACCGGCCUGAAGGUACCAAAUGAAUAAGCACCGGCUAACUCCGUGCCAGCAGCCGCGGUAAUACGGAGGGUGCAAGCGUUAUCCGGAAUCAUUGGGUUUAAAGGGUCCGCAGGCGGUCUUAUAAGUCAGUGGUGAAAGCCUACAGCUCAACUGUAGAACUGCCAUUGAUACUGUAGGACUUGAAUUCGAUCGAAGUGGGCGGAAUGUGACAUGUAGCGGUGAAAUGCUUAGAUAUGUCACAGAACACCGAUAGCGAAGGCAGCUCACUAGGUCUGGAUUGACGCUCAGGGACGAAAGCGUGGGGAGCAAACAGGAUUAGAAACCCUAGUAGUCC
Molecule: ribosomal RNA, 445 nt
Filed under: uncultured bacterium
Lineage: Bacteria
Description: partial 16S ribosomal RNA
Rfam family: Bacterial small subunit ribosomal RNA
Source: RNAcentral